AUCCAGCUGACGAGUCCCAAAUACGACGAAACGCGCGCCAAAUUGGAU
RNAcentral lists this non-coding RNA (48 nucleotides) under Schistosoma mansoni. Lineage: Eukaryota; Metazoa; Platyhelminthes; Trematoda; Strigeidida; Schistosomatidae. The record is from RNAcentral.